UUGAGCGAUUUACUUCGGUAAAGAGCGGCGGACGGGUGAGUAACGCGUGGGUAACCUACCCUGUACACACGGAUAACAUACCGAAAGGUAUGCUAAUACGGGAUAAUAUAUUUGAGAGGCAUCUCUUGAAUAUCAAAGGUGAGCCAGUACAGGAUGGACCCGCGUCUGAUUAGCUAGUUGGUAAGGUAACGGCUUACCAAGGCGACGAUCAGUAGCCGACCUGAGAGGGUGAUCGGCCACAU
RNAcentral lists this ribosomal RNA (242 nucleotides) under Clostridioides difficile. RNAcentral describes it as "partial 16S ribosomal RNA". It matches the Rfam family "Bacterial small subunit ribosomal RNA", at positions 62 to 313 of the family's 1533-position model. The record is from RNAcentral. Lineage: Bacteria; Bacillati; Bacillota; Clostridia; Peptostreptococcales; Peptostreptococcaceae.